CUAUUGCUAUGGAGCUUAGGCAGGGGUCAAUUCAUGGGAACUAAAGUAUAGGUACUUACCCAAGAUUUCCACUUAAGGCCUGGUCCUGCAGAAAUAAUGGGAACAGUGUUCCUGCUGUGGAAAAAGUGCAGGAACUCAGUUCCCAUGCAUUCCUGCAGGCAUAGUACCCAACAGUUUUUAUAGGACUGAUAGUAAGUCAAGGGAAGUAUCUAGAGGUUGUGAGCCGCCUGUGAGGGCAGCAAGGAGAGUAAAGAAACUUGCGCCCCUAUUUAUAGCCUUACAGCAGUGUUCCCCAACCAGAGUUGUAGUUUUGCAACAGCUGGAAGCACACUGGUUGGGAAACACUGUCCUACAGUACCCUGGUCCCCUUUUUUUUAAUUAAAAGAGACUGUAUUUACUUAUACAUAUGUGUUUUCAUGGGAGUCUGCCCUGGUUACUUUCCAUAAACCCUGUGUCUAGACCAAAGUCAACCAACAUAGUCAUAUCAAGGACCAAGAAAUCUGCAUUUUUAUCUUUUAUUACAAUUUUCAGCCUGGCGCCAAGUAUUAUGUCAUCUGCUGAUCUGCAUAGCACCAUGUGUUCCGACUGUAAAUCACCAGAUGUAGUCAGUAGCGUUUAUCUUAUUAUUCAGCCAUUGCUCUAUGUGUAUUUAUGUGUGUUUAUUACUGAUGCCGUAUCUUCAAUAUCAGAUUUCUAAUUAAAAAAAUAAAUCUCUGUAUAGGAGUGCAAACAAAACAUGAACUCUCUAACCCCCCUCAACGGCAGUAGGGCUCCUCCAUGGAUCCAUCUGCGGCUGUAUAAUGUUCGCGUACGGAAAAAGAAACAUACCCUUCCCCACGUUUUAUGGCACCAUUCACUGAGUAAUUGGAACAUUCAUGCAGUUCAAUGGAUUGUGACAGCUGAUCAACACCUCCUGCAAGACUGAAGCCUAGACCGGUGCCUUCCUCCUUGUGGAGAACCACCACAUGGAUGUCAUCAAAUUGCUGUGAUAGGAGAAUAUACAGAGAUAAGGUUACACAUUAACAUCUUCAAGCAUAUCUAGAGAAGGCACUUUAUUGUUAUGAGGAUGUCACCAUUAUAAGUAUUGUGAAGAAACUUCAUUGCAGCCUGGAUUGAUAUCAUUGAAGUGUUUAUUUUCACAAAAAUCUCCCCCUCCUUCUUUUCAUGUUAUUGUUAAAUAGACCAUUCUAAUGAGUUGACCCUUAUAAUAAACUUUUUUUCCACCUUGAAUACUAUGUAAGCACUGGAUAGUGUAAUUUCUGUGAUUCUUGGCACCGGGCUGUGCGCCUGACGGGCGACGCGAUCGCAUUGUUCCCAAUACAUGGGGGUAAUGUGUGUGCGCGGCAUGCUUGUGCAGCCGCACUAUGCCCGGUGGAUCUAGUUAAGGUAUGGGCAUCCCGGUCAGCAGCACAGCUUAUUCUGCAUGCACUACAACACUGGAAGAUUAUUGGUAGAUACGGGGGUGAUACGCUGAGGCAUCAGAGACGCUUACGCAGUCGGUUUGUUUACAAACACCUGGCAUGAUAGUGAUGGACAUGAACGGCAGAUCUGAAGAGAGAUCCCCUCUGUUAGAAGGCUGGCAAUGAAGUUAUCUGUGGAUUAAUGUUGUAUAAUGCACAAUUGGUUGCACUGAGCACAUUAUUUGUACUUAUAAUGUAUUGUGUAUAUUUGGUUACCAUGCCAAUCUGACAUCACUUUGAUUGACUGAUGACUGAUCUUAACACCAAUGUAUGUAUUGUUGAGUUGUGUGUAAGGUUGAUUACA
Hyla sarda is the source of this 1764-nucleotide long non-coding RNA. RefSeq lists it as uncharacterized. The record is from RefSeq and is a predicted model, not a curated record. The transcript is spliced from 3 exons. Lineage: Eukaryota; Metazoa; Chordata; Amphibia; Anura; Hylidae.